CUCUCAUUCUGCCACUCGGCUGCUUUGGGUAUCCCGGCCUUUGAAACCGUGCUCUGUGAUGCAAGGGAGAGAGAGUUUUCUGAGAGUGUGGGCUCCUCUCCUGCUCGAGCUGCGGGCCCAGUUCCGCACUCUGGAGCCACAGACCUGAGCCCUGGGACGUCUGGAUCUGCUCACAGCUCCCUCCUGGGGACCCACGGCGUUAGGAUCUGGAUGCACUGAGGGAUCUAAACAGCUCCCAGGCUGCCGGAAUGCAAUCAAGUGGAGCCAGAUGUACCGUUGGAGAUUGUUCAGAGGAGGGAUGUUCUGACGGUCCAUCUUCAGGAUGAAGCAGGCUCUUCGGGAGAGCACCCUGGAUGCAAUGUAGCCCUGAGGCAGCAAGAGUACAGUUACUCAUCUUCUCCAGUUUCCUGAGAUCUGAACCUGGUGAAGAAGAUGCCUGAAGCUCGGAGGAAAGGCUUGAACAUGCACAGUGAAUAUCUGAUGGAAUUGCUUUCCAACCUGCAAUCAAUUUUAUCUACUUGACUUAUUUUACACAUUUUCAUUUUUUCACUUGUCAUUUCUACCCCUUUGAAAUUGUGCAAACCCAUGACUGUAUUCUCCUUUUUGUGUUAUAGAACCAGAGUCUGC
Non-coding RNA from Saimiri boliviensis boliviensis (Bolivian squirrel monkey), 627 nucleotides. Lineage: Eukaryota; Metazoa; Chordata; Mammalia; Primates; Cebidae. The record is from RefSeq and is a predicted model, not a curated record.